UUGCGUUUAUUUGUUUCUAUUUUUUCCUCCGUCAAUUUAGGUAAACUUAGGAACACAGAGCAUAGGACAGGGAUUAGUUCUUAACUUUUUUUUUUUUUUUUUGGUAGUCAUCAUGACCAAGGACCAGACUAUACAUAUAAGACUAUAAACAAAUAAGGAAGGGAAGGAGGGUGGGAGGGAGGGAGGGAGGAAAGAAGGGAGGGAGGAAGGAAGGAAGGGAGGGAGGGAGGGAGGGAGGGAGGAAGAGAGGGAAGGAGGGAAAGAGGAAGAGAAGGAAGAAAGAAGGAAGAAGCAGACUCCUUAGCAUGUAGGGGGCAUGUAAACCAAAAACACUUAACUUGACUCCUACAGAUCAUUGAGGCAGAAUCCGAUUAGUUCUUCACCAGUGUCUCUGUUCCCUUCAUCUUUGGCAUACUUCUAAAUUGCAUUCGCCAAUUUCACGUGAGGACAUGUGGCUAAUUCCCCACGGAAUGUCAGCAGAAGGGAUGUGUGUUACUUCUAGGAACGGCCCCUAAAAUUUCCUGCCCUGUUGCUCAGGUUUCCUCCCCUUUCUCCUGCUGGAUACAUGCAAAGGAUCGAGUGGAGGUCUCCAAGGCCCUGCAAGAUGGUACAGCCACACACGAAGCACCUGGGUCCCCCUUCAUAUUGGGCUGUGACAUGAGAAAGGAAGGUCAGUUUGCUCUCCUCUCCAUUACUGCAAUGCAAUUGCAGCUUCGUGGACAUUCUUCCAGUUCUUGGAAAAUAUUUGGAUCUUGGUUCCACUGAAGGCCUUCACACAUGUUCUAUUGUCUCCCUGUAAGUCUGCUGCCCAUGCCUUUCAUGACUAAGAACUGAUUCUCCAGAUCACAACCAAACUGCUACCUCCUCAGAGAGGUCUUCCUGGAUUACUCACUCAACCCCCACCUUUUCUGUCAGCCUGAUGCUCUGCUCUCUAACCCUACUCUUUCUCUGAAGACUUGGACUUAAUGUAUGUUUUACACACAUAGAAGUUGCAAUUUUUGUAAAAAAGGAAACAUCAAUGAAAACAGUACUGUAGUCAUUUCCUAGUAAUUACCACAUUUCACAUUGUUAUUUUACUUUUUGUUGUUAUGCCACUUCUCUAAUG
RNAcentral lists this long non-coding RNA (1105 nucleotides) under Felis catus (domestic cat). Its description in RNAcentral is "lncRNA (ENSFCAG00000051991.1)". Lineage: Eukaryota; Metazoa; Chordata; Mammalia; Carnivora; Felidae. The record is from RNAcentral.